UGGCUAAGAUAUCUGUAUGGUUAGCCCUACUAAAUUCUAUGCUUUAAGAAAUUAUAGUGGUAAAUAAGGGAACCAGCCGCGGUUACACUUUCUGUCUCUUUUUAGUCACUUAAAGUCUCCUUGAAUAACACUGAUUGUGUUCUUGUGCUCUGCAGAUAGAGGUGCAUUGUGGCGCUAGCCCCUUGCAUUAGGAUCCGUCACAUUAGAAUCUGCCUCUUAUAUUAGACUCAGUUUAUCACACUCAGCUCCUGGGACCAUGGGGAAUCAGGAUUUCCCCCUUUGUGGCCCAAGGUAAGUCUCAGGGAGGGGGGAAUAAACUAGUGGUUUUUCUUCCGUACCUAUCCCCCAAUUGUAGCCAUUAUGCCCCACUACAGCCCCUAAGCCUUCUACUACAGCCCAUAACCCCCAACUGAAGUCCCUACAUCCUGCUAGAACCUCUACUACAGCUCUUAACCCCCCUUUUUAACCCAUUACAGCCCCUAUACCCACACUACAGCCACUAUCCCCCCUUUUACACCCCUCCCACCCAUGACAUCCCCUUUUCCCCUACCACAGUCCCUACCCCCACUAAAGUCCCUAUCCUCCUUACUACCACCUCUCUCUCCUAGUUGCAGCCCAUAUACCCCACACUACAGCCUCUUUCCCCAAUACAGCCCCUAACACCCCUACUGCAGCCCCUAUCCCAUCACUAGAUUUCCUUUUCC
Pelobates cultripes (western spadefoot toad) is the source of this 704-nucleotide non-coding RNA. The record is from the annotation of a GenBank genome assembly. NCBI's taxonomy places the organism in Eukaryota, Metazoa, Chordata, Amphibia, Anura, Pelobatidae.